RNAcentral lists this non-coding RNA (21 nucleotides) under Caenorhabditis elegans. The record is from RNAcentral. Lineage: Eukaryota; Metazoa; Nematoda; Chromadorea; Rhabditida; Rhabditidae.
UUGAGGAACUUUAUAGUCUUC